UAGCAGGCCGCAGUACCUUGGACUGUGCGUAAGGUAGCAUAAUCAAUUGGCUUUUAAUUGAAGUCUGGAAUGAAAGGGAUAAUAGGAAAAAACUGUCUCAGAAAAAACUAUUUGAAAUUAUUUAGUAAGUGAAAAUACUUAUAUUCAGAAAAAAGACGAGAAGACCCUUAGAAUUUUUAUUAAUAGAUUCAAUUUAUAUAAAUUUUAUAUUUUAGUUGGGGCGACUUUGAACCAUUUAAACGUUUAUUAAAAUACUCAACAUUAAGAUUUAAAAGAGCAAAUUAGCUUAGGGAUAACAGCAUAAUUUUUUAUAAAGUUUGUGACCUCGAUGUUGGACUAGGAACUUAAUGAUUAACCGUCAAUAUAGAUUGUUCUGUUCGAACAGAAACUCCUACAUGAUC
RNAcentral lists this ribosomal RNA (401 nucleotides) under Stagnicola palustris. RNAcentral describes it as "partial large subunit ribosomal RNA". It matches the Rfam family "Bacterial large subunit ribosomal RNA", at positions 1924 to 2605 of the family's 2925-position model. Lineage: Eukaryota; Metazoa; Mollusca; Gastropoda; Lymnaeidae. The record is from RNAcentral.